AUGCUUCCUGCUCUCCAUCCGGCUUCCGGCGAGAUCCUGGGGGAACUCUCAGGGAUGCUGAUCAGCGGCUUGCCCGCGGCUCCUGUGCCUUCCCCCCAGUGGGGCCCCUCCCAGGAAGAGUCGCCUGCCUGCCUCACCGGGAGGGGAGGAAGGACACUGUCCAGAGGGACAGGCCGGUCCAAAACAGCUGCUGUGGCCACUGCCCUUCGAAAAAGAGCCCCUGGGCUUCAGAGAUAUUCCGGUGCAAACACCGCAAGAAGGCAAGCCGGCCCCGAGCCGACAUCCCAGCAGAUGCCAGGGAGAAAGUGGGACGCCAUGCGCCACGGGCGGUUGAAUCCCCGCCCUCUUUUUCUGCUUCGCACGGGACGCUUGGUAUACCUGAGGGCGACGCAGGGGUGCCUGGCAAGGACCCUUUCCCUCACCUGGCACAGUUUAGGGGCCACCAGCCUGGGAACGUCUCCCUGCCUGCCCAGAUACCCCUCCUGGCUUCAUCCUGCUCAUGGGGAAGGCAGGGAAGGGCCGAGAGCCCCAUCCGGCCACUCAGCCCUGAUCAAGACCUGCAGGAGGCCUCUGGGCUGCCCCUCCCCCCCCAGCUGGGUCCCCCGCGCACAGUGUUUUCUGCUGGAAAAGCAGCCCUGCUUUCCGCCGCAAGCUCAGGACAAAGACAGGAAGGGAGAAGGGAGCACGUGGCCCAAGGCCCUUUCCCAGGGCAGCAGAGCGAAGAAAACCACAGUUAGCGUCCCUUUGCCAGCCCUGAAGGAGCUCCCUGGUUUGGUCACCACCCCAUUCCCCCACUUCUGGGUCCUCUUUUGCAUGGGCCCUGGACGGCGGACCUGCAAGCCAGUCCCUGCCACACACCGCCAGGCCCCUGGACAGGGCAGGAGACUGCAGGGCCCCCAUCCAACCCCAGGCGGGAUAGCCCAGACAACCUCCCCCAGAAAAACAGCAGUUGAGCUUCGGUCUGAAAAUACCCAGCAGGACGAGGGGAGAUUCGGCCAAAAUCUGCCUUCGGCCUUUGGGCCCUAA
Molecule: long non-coding RNA, 1026 nt
Filed under: Salvator merianae (Argentine black and white tegu)
Lineage: Eukaryota; Metazoa; Chordata; Lepidosauria; Squamata; Teiidae
Description: lncRNA (ENSSMRG00000006573.1)
Source: RNAcentral